GAUGAAGAACGUAGCGAAAUGCGAUACUUGGUGUGAAUUGCAGAAUCCCGUGAACCAUCGAGUCUUUGAACGCACAUUGCGCCCCCUGGUAUUCCGGGGGGCAUGCCUGUCCGAGCGUCAUUGCUGCCCUCAAGCACGGCUUGUGUGUUGGGCCCCCGCCCCCCGGCUUCGGGGGGCGGGCCCGAAAGGCAGCGGCGGCACCGCGUCCGGUCCUCGAGCGUAUGGGGCUUCGUCACCCGCUCUGUAGGCCCGGCCGGCGCCCGCCGGCGACCCCAAUCAAUCUUUCCAGGUUGACCUCGGAUCAGGUAGGGAUACCCGCUGAACUUAAGCAUAUCAAUAAGCGGAGGA
RNAcentral lists this unclassified non-coding RNA (348 nucleotides) under soil metagenome. RNAcentral describes it as "partial contains 5.8S ribosomal RNA, internal transcribed spacer 2, and large subunit ribosomal RNA". The stretch from base 1 to 120 matches the Rfam family "5.8S ribosomal RNA", at positions 35 to 154 of the family's 154-position model. The record is from RNAcentral.